GUCGAACGAGAAAGUGUAGCAAUACAUGAGUAAAGUGGCGACCGGGUGAGUAACACGUGACUAACCUGCCCUUGAGUGGGGGAUAACCUCGGGAAACCGGGGCUAAUACCGCAUAACAUCACGAGGUGAAAUUCCUUGUGAUCAAAGGAGCAAUUCGCUGAAGGAGGGGGUCGCGGCUGAUUAGCCAGUUGGCGGGGUAACGGCCCACCAAAGCAAUGAUCAGUAGCCGGCCUGAGAGGGCGCACGGCCACACUGGAACUGAAACACGGUCCAGACUCCUACGGGAGGCAGCAGUGGGGAAUUUUGCGCAAUGGGGGAAACCCUGACGCAGCAACGCCGCGUGGAGGAUGAAGUCCCUUGGGAUGUAAACUCCUUUCGAUCGGGACGAUUAUGACGGUACCGGAAGAAGAAGCACCGGCUAACUCUGUGCCAGCAGCCGCGGUAAUACAGAGGGUGCAAGCGUUGUUCGGAAUUAUUGGGCGUAAAGGGCGUGUAGGCGGUGCGGUAAGUUUGUGGUGAAAUCUCCGGGCUCAACUCGGAAAUUGCCGCGAAGACUGCCGUGCUUGAGUGUGGGAGAGGUGAGUGGAAUUCCUGGUGUAGCGGUGAAAUGCGUAGAUAUCGGGAGGAACACCUGCGGCGAAAGCGGCUCACUGGACCAUAACUGACGCUGAGACGCGAAAGCUAGGGGAGCAAACAGGAUUAGAUACCCUG
This 711-nucleotide ribosomal RNA is filed under the name uncultured Acidobacteriota bacterium. RNAcentral describes it as "bacterial SSU rRNA". It matches the Rfam family "Bacterial small subunit ribosomal RNA", at positions 61 to 789 of the family's 1533-position model. The record is from RNAcentral. Lineage: Bacteria; Pseudomonadati; Acidobacteriota.